AACCAUUCUCACCUGCGGCUAGACCUGCGGAAGGAUCAUUAAAAAGAGUGUGUACCCCUCUGUAAAAUGAGUGGGUUACCUCCCGUCCUUUGUUGACCUCUUAGGAGGUUAUUUUGAACUUUCUGCUUCGGUGGGGUUAAACCUACCGGAACACCCUCAAAUUCUUAUCAUUUAAAAAUUGUUCAGUCUGAUUUUUGUUAAUAAGAACAAAAAACUUUUAACAAUGGAUCUCAGAUCGGA
Molecule: unclassified non-coding RNA, 240 nt
Filed under: soil metagenome
Description: partial contains 5.8S ribosomal RNA, internal transcribed spacer 2, and large subunit ribosomal RNA
Source: RNAcentral